CUGUUUUGGAGGAGGCGGGGAGGAGGUAGCAGACGUCAAGGGAUCUCCAUCUCACGCUCGAUGCCCACGUACUUCAGGGCGUCAGCCUGGCUGUAUCUGAAACGGCAGGAGACAGGCGUGACCCCGGCCCACCGAGAGCCAACAGUGUAAACGGCCAACCUGAUGCCAGACCUGUGAACACCAUCUGAGGGUGAGCAGGUAGGUUAUUGGCCAACAGUCCUCCAGCACUGAACGAUUUAAGACAGCCCGAGCAUAUCCUCAAGGACAGCAAGGUGGGGCUAAAUUCUUUUCACUCUAUCUUUAAAAUAACCAGUGCUUAUAUAAUGGAAGCUCCAUCCUAACUUCCCCCCAACACCCAAGGCAAAGAAUAGCCUAAGAUUAGACGCUGCAACAACAUAAGACCCAGCAAGAGCAGAGAGUCAGCCUCUGUCCCCAGUUCAGAGUCCAGGAGAAAGCCCUCAGGACACACCAGAAUUGCACUGUUACUUACCUGUAAUCAAAAAACAGCUCUUCACCAGUCUGGAUGGCUCUCUUCGCAAAGAUCCCUAUCCUGUGAUCACCAUUCACCAUCAUAACUAGAAAGAGACACGCUGGUGUCAGCGAAGGAAGGGACAGUCACACAGAAAAUCUGUCUAGGCCGUGCAUCACUAUCACUGGGGGUCCUGGCAUCAGAACAGGAAUUCUGACUCCAGAAACACCUACCUUUUGCAUAGCAGUUUGGAUUGACUGAAUGAUUUGCAAAACGAAUUUUGUUACCCUUACGGGUUGCAUCCACCACAAAAUCUAAAGAAAAAAUAAGCACAAUGCAAUGAAUAAUUCUAGUUUUAGAUAAAUAAACACAAAGUCCCUAUGAUUCUGGAAAUACAACUGGUUACGGUUCUUCGGGGUUUGCCUUCAAAAGCAAGUAAAUCAUUCAGCCAACUUUGUCCAAAUGACAUUUGCAAGAAAAUGCUGUUCUAGGUAAAAUGGAUAAUUCAGAAGAGUUGUUACCUAACUGUAAAUAUGUAUUACUGAGCAAAAUACUGC
Long non-coding RNA from Pipistrellus kuhlii (Kuhl's pipistrelle), 1026 nucleotides. RefSeq lists it as uncharacterized. The transcript is spliced from 2 exons. Lineage: Eukaryota; Metazoa; Chordata; Mammalia; Chiroptera; Vespertilionidae. The record is from RefSeq and is a predicted model, not a curated record.